CGUAUCCAUGUUGUGCCGCCGACAGCAAACAUUCUGUGUUGUGCUAUUAGCUCACCUUGAGCUGAAUUCAUUUGACAUCACGCAGUUUGUAACUCCUUGAUUGUUGUAGCCUAUUUACACAAAACCUAAAUGGUCGUAUUGUUAGUUUAAUAACUGCAUUGUGAUAUAGGCUAUAACAUGGAUUAGGCUUCAUCAAAAUAUUGUGAAUUAAAGCUCAUGCAUGCAUGUUGUAUGCAAAACGUUCAAACUUUUUUUGUCUUUCUUUUCCUCUUUGCUUUGGGUUGGGUAGAAUUGUACGGUAGGUUCAGCCAUUCCUUGAUCGACCUGACACCAGCAUUAGGCCUACUCGAUGUGUAUGAAGCAAGCUGCCUCUGCAUCAAGUGAGGGAAGAAGCCGCCACUGAAAAGCUUUUUGGACUGUCAUUUGAAGGACACAAAUGAAAGGACAGGAAUCCUGCUCUGCGGCGUUGGCCUCACUAUUUAUUCAAGAAGCCCUUGGACACCACCAGAAUGUAUGAAAAUUGUAAACAGUAGGCACAGUCAUUCCUUGAUCGACCUGGCAUCAACAUCGCUCGAUGUGUAUGAAGCUGCAAGUGAGAGAAGAAGCCGCCACUGAACACCUUUUUGGACUGUCAUGACUCAAAUGAAAGGACAGGACUUCUACUCUGCUCGGUCGGCCUCACUACAUAUUCAAGAAGCCCUCGGACGUCAUCAGAAUGUAUUAAUGUGAAGAGGCAACAAGGGAGAGAUGAACGCUAUCAAAAAUGUGGAGAUGGAUCUGGCAGCCGACCGCUUUGGCACACACCCAACAAGAAACAAAACAAUAAAGAAUACUAAAAUGCAUAA
Molecule: long non-coding RNA, 845 nt
Organism: Engraulis encrasicolus (European anchovy)
Lineage: Eukaryota; Metazoa; Chordata; Actinopteri; Clupeiformes; Engraulidae
Exons: 5
Source: RefSeq, a predicted model, not a curated record